UACGUAGGGUCCGAGCGUUGUCCGGAAUUACUGGGCGUAAAGAGCUCGUAGGUGGUUUGUCGCGUUGUUCGUGAAAACUCACAGCUUAACUGUGGGCGUGCGGGCGAUACGGGCAGACUGGAGUACUGCAGGGGAGACUGGAAUUCCUGGUGUAGCGGUGGAAUGCGCAGAUAUCAGGAGGAACACCGGUGGCGAAGGCGGGUCUCUGGGCAUUUCCUGACGCUGAGGCGCGAAAGCGUGGGGAGCAAACGGG
This 253-nucleotide ribosomal RNA is filed under the name uncultured bacterium. RNAcentral's name for it is "partial 16S ribosomal RNA". It matches the Rfam family "Bacterial small subunit ribosomal RNA", at positions 524 to 776 of the family's 1533-position model. The record is from RNAcentral.